Non-coding RNA from Epinephelus lanceolatus (giant grouper), 350 nucleotides. The record is from RefSeq and is a predicted model, not a curated record. Lineage: Eukaryota; Metazoa; Chordata; Actinopteri; Perciformes; Serranidae.
UAAGCAACACCGCUGAGGCUAAAGCUAAAGUUAACGAUAGCGGUUAAAUUUGAGUUAAGAAACACAAGUGGACAGACAGCUUCGAAAUAAACCCAGGAGCAGGACGUUUCUCCUCAGUGGUUUUGGGGUAAUGUACCAGGUUCCAGUUCAUCCUACAUGUUUGAUACACUAUCCAGGCCUGGAGCCCGACUGUUCGUACACCCCACAGAACAUCUAACAUUUACAGGUGUGUGGAAUACAACUCGUACCAUUGCUUACCUGUUCUGACCUGACGUGCUGAUGUAUUGCGGUAAGCGAGUUGUGUCAUUUCCGGUGUUUCUGUGACAGCGUCUCUGUACUGCUCUGGUGAA